CUGCGGCAGCGACGCUUAUGCGUUGUUGGGUAGGGGAGCGUUCUGUAAGCCUGCGAAGGUGGCCUGUGAGGGUUGCUGGAGGUAUCAGAAGUGCGAAUGCUGACAUAAGUAACGAUAAAGCGGGUGAAAAGCCCGCUCGCCGGAAGACCAAGGGUUCCUGUCCAACGUUAAUCGGGGCAGGGUGAGUCGACCCCUAAGGCGAGGCCGAAAGGCGUAGUCGAUGGGAAACGGGUUAAUAUUCCCGUACUUGGUGUUACUGCGAAGGGGGGACGGAGAAGGCUAUGUUGGCCGGGCGACGGUUGUCCCGGUUUAAGCGUGUAGGUGUGUGUUCCAGGUAAAUCCGGUUCACUUUAACACUGAGGCGUGACGACGAGGCACUACGGUGCUGAAGCAACAAAUGCCCUGCUUCCAGGAAAAGCCUCUAAGCAUCAGGUAACAUCAAAUCGUACCCCAAACCGACACAGGUGGUCAGGUAGAGAAUACCAAGGCGCUUGAGAGAACUCGGGUGAAGGAACUAGGCAAAAUGGUGCCGUAACUUCGGGAGAAGGCACGCUGACACGUAGGUGAAGUGAUUUACUCACGGAGCUGAAGUCAGUCGAAGAUACCAGCUGGCUGCAACUGUUUAUUAAAAACACAGCACUGUGCAAACACGAAAGUGGACGUAUACGGUGUGACGCCUGCCCGGUGCCGGAAGGUUAAUUGAUGGGGUCAGCGCAAGCGAAGCUCCUGAUCGAAGCCCCGGUAAACGGCGGCCGUAACUAUAACGGUCCUAAGGUAGCGAAAUUCCUUGUCGGGUAAGUUCCGACCUGCACGAAUGGCGUAAUGAUGGCCAGGCUGUCUCCACCCGAGACUCAGUGAAAUUGAACUCGCUGUGAAGAUGCAGUGUACCCGCGGCAAGACGGAAAGACCCCGUGAACCUUUACUAUAGCUUGACACUGAACAUUGAGCCUUGAUGUGUAGGAUAGGUGGGAGGCUUUGAAGUGUGGACGCCAGUCUGCAUGGAGCCGACCUUGAAAUACCACCCUUUAAUGUUUGAUGUUCUAACGUGGAUCCGUAAUCCGGGUUGCGGACAGUGUCUGGUGGGUAGUUUGACUGGGGCGGUCUCCUCCUAAAGAGUAACGGAGGAGCACGAAGGUUGGCUAAUCCUGGUCGGACAUCAGGAGGUUAGUGCAAUGGCAUAAGCCAGCUUGACUGCGAGCGUGACGGCGCGAGCAGGUGCGAAAGCAGGUCAUAGUGAUCCGGUGGUUCUGAAUGGAAGGGCCAUCGCUCAACGGAUAAAAGGUACUCCGGGGAUAACAGGCUGAUACCGCCCAAGAGUUCAUAUCGACGGCGGUGUUUGGCACCUCGAUGUCGGCUCAUCACAUCCUGGGGCUGAAGUAGGUCCCAAGGGUAUGGCUGUUCGCCAUUUAAAGUGGUACGCGAGCUGGGUUUAGAACGUCGUGAGACAGUUCGGUCCCUAUCUGCCGUGGGCGCUGGAGAACUGAGGGGGGCUGCUCCUAGUACGAGAGGACCGGAGUGGACGCAUCACUGGUGUUCGGGUUGUCAUGCCAAUGGCACUGCCCGGUAGCUAAAUGCGGAAGAGAUAAGUGCUGAAAGCAUCUAAGCACGAAACUUGCCCCGAGAUGAGUUCUCCCUGAGACUUAGAGUCUCCUGAAGGAACGUUGAAGACGACGACGUUGAUAGGCCGGGUGUGUAAGCGCAGCGAUGCGUUGAGCUAACCGGUACUAAUGAACCGUGAGGCUUAACCUUACAACGCCGAAG
RNAcentral lists this ribosomal RNA (1761 nucleotides) under Salmonella enterica. Its description in RNAcentral is "partial 23S ribosomal RNA". It matches the Rfam family "Bacterial large subunit ribosomal RNA", at positions 1200 to 2925 of the family's 2925-position model. Lineage: Bacteria; Pseudomonadati; Pseudomonadota; Gammaproteobacteria; Enterobacterales; Enterobacteriaceae. The record is from RNAcentral.